GAUGAACGCUGGCGGCGUGCCUAAUACAUGCAAGUCGAGCGAACGGACGAGAAGCUUGCUUCUCUGAUGUUAGCGGCGGACGGGUGAGUAACACGUGGAUAACCUACCUAUAAGACUGGGAUAACUUCGGGAAACCGGAGCUAAUACCGGAUGAUAUUUUGAACCGCAUGGUUCAACAGUGAAAGACGGUCUUGCUGUCACUUAUAGAUGGAUCCGCGCUGCAUUAGCUAGUUGGUAAGGUAACGGCUUACCAAGGCAACGAUGCAUAGCCGACCUGAGAGGGUGAUCGGCCACACAGGAACUGAGACACGGUCCAGACUCCUACGGGAGGCAGCAGUAGGGAAUCGUCCGCAAAGGGCGAAAGCAUGACGGAGCAACGCCGCGUGAGUGAUGAAGGUCUUCGGAUCGUAAAACUCUGUUAUUAGGGAAGAACAUAUGUGUAAGUAACUGUGCACAUCUUGACGGUACCUAAUCAGAAAGCCACGGCUAACUACGUG
RNAcentral lists this ribosomal RNA (497 nucleotides) under uncultured bacterium. Its description in RNAcentral is "partial 16S ribosomal RNA". It matches the Rfam family "Bacterial small subunit ribosomal RNA", at positions 28 to 507 of the family's 1533-position model. The record is from RNAcentral.